This is a long non-coding RNA of Homo sapiens (human), 541 nucleotides long. RefSeq lists it as uncharacterized. NCBI's taxonomy places the organism in Eukaryota, Metazoa, Chordata, Mammalia, Primates, Hominidae. The transcript is spliced from 2 exons. The record is from RefSeq and is a predicted model, not a curated record.
AUUCUCCAACACAGUUCUUACAGUGGCUACUACAUCAGGUGCACUCUCUUCUUCCUGGCAGGAAUAUUUUAGAAGGCUUUACCAAGAAUGUGGAAUUACACUAUGGCUUUAAGAAUUUGGCCAGAAAGAGGUCAGAGGAGGACAGAGCAAACUUCAGAAAUAGACAAGGUCUUACUCUGCUACCCAAGCUGGAGUGCAAUGGUAUGAUCAUAGCUUACUACAGCAUUGAACUUCUGGAUUCAAGAGAUUCCCCCACGUUGGCCACCCAAGUAGCUGGAACUACAGGCAUGUACCAUCACACCCAGCUUAUAUAUGUAUAUAAUUAUUUUUGGACAUACAGGAUCUCACUACAUUGCCCAAGCUGCUCUCAAACUCCUGGCCUCAAGAUGAUCCUUCUGCUUCUGCCUCUCAAAGUGCUGGGAUUAUAGGCAUAAACCACCAUGCUCAGUCCAAUGUUUUUAAUAUCAGAUACUCUUUAGUAUCUUUAAGAUUUUAUACACUGUGUAUGCAUUAGUUAAUUAUUAAAUUUUAAAGAAGUAAA